This is an unclassified non-coding RNA of Piliocolobus tephrosceles (Ugandan red Colobus), 102 nucleotides long. It matches the Rfam family "Y RNA". Rfam says of the family: Y RNAs are components of the Ro ribonucleoprotein particle (Ro RNP), in association with Ro60 and La proteins. The Y RNAs and Ro60 and La proteins are well conserved, but the function of the Ro RNP is not known. In humans the RNA component can be one of four small RNAs -- hY1, hY3, hY4 and hY5. The record is from Ensembl. NCBI's taxonomy places the organism in Eukaryota, Metazoa, Chordata, Mammalia, Primates, Cercopithecidae.
GAGUAGUUCGAGUUCAGUGGUAUGUACAACUAAUUGAUCAUAAUCCGUAACAGAUUUACUUGUUCCUUCUCCACUGCCACAGCUUCAUUGGGCUAGCCAUGA